This 508-nucleotide ribosomal RNA is filed under the name fungal sp. CMU28. RNAcentral describes it as "eukaryotic LSU rRNA". The stretch from base 122 to 275 matches the Rfam family "5.8S ribosomal RNA". Lineage: Eukaryota; Fungi. The record is from RNAcentral.
UCAUACUCCCCCCUAUGUGAACAUACUACAGUUGCCUCGGCGGGGUGCUACACCCCGCCGGCGGACCACUAAACUCUGUUUUAUCCACUGUAUCUCUGAAUUUAAUAACGAAAUACGUUAAAACUUUCAACAACGGAUCUCUUGGUUCUGGCAUCGAUGAAGAACGCAGCGAAAUGCGAUAAGUAAUGUGAAUUGCAGAAUUCAGUGAAUCAUCGAAUCUUUGAACGCACAUUGCGCCCAUUAGUAUUCUAGUGGGCAUGCCUAUUCAAGCGUCAUUUCAACCCUUACUCCCUGUAGCGUAGCGUUGGGAAUCUACCUGCAGGUAUUUCCUCAAAUCGAUUGUUGGAGUUAUAAAUACUCUAUGCUAUUUAAUACAAUUCUCGCUUCUGUAGUACCGCUACGGCUACCCACUAAACCCCCUAUAUUUCUAGUGGUUGACCUCGGAUUAUGUAGGAAUACCAGCUGAAGUUACGCAGAUCCCUACCCGGAGGAAUACCCUUUCCCCUCG